AUUGAACGCUGGCGGCAGGCUUAACACAUGCAAGUCGAGCGGGGUGAUGGUGCUUGCACUAUCACUUAGCGGCGGACGGGUGAGUAAUGCUUAGGAAUCUGCCUAUUAGUGGGGGACAACAUCUCGAAAGGGAUGCUAAUACCGCAUACGUCCUACGGGAGAAAGCAGGGGAUCACUUGUGACCUUGCGCUAAUAGAUGAGCCUAAGUCGGAUUAGCUAGUUGGUGGGGUAAAGGCCUACCAAGGCGACGGUCUGUAGCGGGUCUGAGAGGAUGAUCCGCCACACUGGGACUGGGACACGGCCCAGACUCCUACGGGAGGCAGCAGUGGGGAAUAUUGGACAAUGGGGGGAACCCUGAUCCAGCCAUGCCGCGUGUGUGAAGAAGGCCUUAUGGUUGUAAAGCACUUUGAGCGAGGAGGAGGCUCUUUUGGUUAAUACCCAAGAUGAGUGGACGUUACUCGCAGAAUAAGCACCGGCUAACUCUGUGCCAGCCGCCGCAGUAA
This 503-nucleotide ribosomal RNA is filed under the name uncultured bacterium. RNAcentral's name for it is "partial 16S ribosomal RNA". It matches the Rfam family "Bacterial small subunit ribosomal RNA", at positions 30 to 523 of the family's 1533-position model. The record is from RNAcentral.